RNAcentral lists this transfer RNA (76 nucleotides) under Psychrilyobacter sp. S5. RNAcentral's name for it is "tRNA-Asn". It matches the Rfam family "tRNA". Rfam says of the family: Transfer RNA (tRNA) molecules are approximately 80 nucleotides in length. Their secondary structure includes four short double-helical elements and three loops (D, anti-codon, and T loops). Further hydrogen bonds mediate the characteristic L-shaped molecular structure. tRNAs have two regions of fundamental functional importance: the anti-codon, which is responsible for specific mRNA codon recognition, and the 3' end, to which the tRNAs corresponding amino acid is attached (by aminoacyl-tRNA synthetases). tRNAs cope with the degeneracy of the genetic code in two manners: having more than one tRNA (with a specific anti-codon) for a particular amino acid; and 'wobble' base-pairing, i.e. permitting non-standard base-pairing at the 3rd anti-codon position. RNAcentral also lists the same sequence under 2 other names. Lineage: Bacteria; Fusobacteriati; Fusobacteriota; Fusobacteriia; Fusobacteriales; Fusobacteriaceae. The record is from RNAcentral.
GCUUCUUUAGCUCAGUUGGUAGAGCGCUCGACUGUUAAUCGAGUUGUCGCAGGUUCAAGUCCUGCAAGAAGCGCCA